CCGCAGCAGCCUCUGUGACUUUCCCACGGAGAGCAAGGAGUGGAGCUUGGUAUCUUGAACCUUUUUUUUUUUUCUAAAAAGGUUUUUCUUUUCCGUGCCCAGAUGUCAAAUUACCCAAAGAACAAUUCUCUGAGCAGGCAUUGUUGGGAAAGAGAUCGUCCUUGCAGGGUGGGGCGCGUCCAGCCGACGGUGGGUGGAGCUGGGACCGUCUUGGGCAGGCGCACAGGGGGCUUCAGUGAGGAGCCAGCUGAGCAUGCAGGGCAGGCUGCCUGAAUUAAGGGAAAGGCUCCGGCUGAACGAGUCAGCUGGCGUGUGUGUGGAACACGCUUUCUGUGAUCCUCUUCCUCAGAUUAUAGAUGAUUAUCAUGCCAGUCUUGGGGCUGGUGGGUAGGAAAUUCGAUUAGGAAAAUAGGCGUGUCUGACUGAAGCAACCGAAUGGAAUGAAAGAGCUCCACCUGGAGGCCGUGCCUGGAGGUGGCGGCGAGAAUGUGGAGUCCCGGAGAGACCUGGGGCCGGAAGAGGCGAGGAUGCUUCACCUGAGACUCAGCUGACACGUCAAAGACAUUAUGAGGAAGAAGAUGAAACUCAAAGGACAACUGAUGGCUGGACGUGGCGGGGAGGGGCCUCUGCCCUUGGAGCCUCCAGAGUUGAAGAUGCCCCCGCUGCUAGCACAGCCCCUUCGUCGAGUCUCCAGCAGCACCCUCCAUGCUGUUUACAAAGUGGCGUCGAAGUCUGGGGCUGUGGUGGUGAGUCCUGCCAGAGCUGACGAGGACACAGCGUUUGUGGGAAUUCUGUGACUCUGAGAGGCGAAAGAUCCUGGUUACAUGAAUACUUAACAUCAUCUCGCCAAACUAGUGAUUUUAAAUGCUAAAUGAAAAAGGCGAAGGCUUUUACUGGAUGACUGCGACAGCCAGAAGGAAGCUGAAAGGGAAGUACCAUCCCCGGGACCAGAGGACAAGGGUCCUGGGAGCAAGAGAUCCUGUCUUGAAGGCAAAACAGCUUGCUGGGUGCCAUCAUUCUGGGUUGUUUAAGCCAGGGAUCCUGACUUUGGUUUGUUUCCACCCGGAAUCCCAGCCGGGACUCUCCUCUCCAUCCUCACAUCUUGUCCACACAUCAGUGCUCUGGUGGCCAGCGAUCUUCCUGUUUGACAGCUGCUGGUGGUGUGUUAGACACUCCUUUGAACUCUGCAGAUGACCUCCAGGCAUUCAAACCCUUGGGGGAUUUGCAGAUCCUAAGUAUGGUUGGCACCAGGCUAAGAGGUCUCAUCCAGGUGAUGGAUGAGAGGCUCAAGGCUGGAGAUGAAUUCCAUAAGCUGAAAGACAGCCUCAGAUCAAUAAGAGAGGAUGCCCGAGGAACCACGCAAAGCAUCGCAAUUUAGAUCCGGUGUCAGUUACAUGAGUAUUGAAAGGUGAAACCCACAACAUAGCAGUGUGUGUAAAAACAAACCAGAAUCAUCUGGCUUUACGGUCAGUUUUAUAGGCAACAAAACUGAAUCUAUCUUAAACAGUGAAUAUAGUUGUAGUAGGAGCUAUUAAGUGUAUUGCAAGCACACUAAUCCUUUAUCAUAUUCUUAACAAGGGAAAGGAUAGUGUAGGACUGGACAUAAGUUUUUCUUCUUUUUAAGAAGUGUAACUGUUGGCUGACCAAGAAUACAGAAUCCAGUAGGCUGUGCACAGCAAUUUUAUUUGUUUGUAUUUCAAUUUAACUACAAGCUCAAGUUCUCUGUUACAAUUUAUAUAGGGUCCACCUUGGCAAUUGUGAGUGGCUCCCAUGCUGUGUCCAUGUGGUCCCACAUGCCCGUGUGUUUUGAAUCCUAUGCAGGAUCACCAGUUGACCCUCAGGAGGUCUGUGCAGAGCCCCCACUUUCAAAGAGGGAUACUUCCUUCCAAAAAGGCCAGUCUUCUGAACCUCACACACCACACGUCCAUCCACUCCUUCACUGAACAUCUACAACGUGCCACAUACUACUCCAGGAACUAGGGGGAUUUACCUGUGAACCAGCCGAGGCCUUUCUCCUCAUCAAGCUAAAGUUGUCAGGGAGGUCGGGAUGGAAAAUUUCAACAAAACUGUCAGACAAGCAGGUAGGAAAAGUCACCGGGUACCUGAGACGCCUUCUGUGCAGACUGUUCCCUCUGCUUCCCAAGGCAGCUCAGGUUCCACUUUCCCCUUGGAGGCAGACAGCCCCUGUGAGCCUUGUAGAACAUCAUUUAGCACUGGCUGCUCUCUAAUUGUUUUCCUAAUGCUAAUUUGAUCUCCCCAGCUGACUCCUGGAAAUCGUUGGCUGCUGGGAUCUGCCUUCACCUGAAACACAUUCAGUCAGGCUCCAGCUAGGAUCCUUCUUUACAGGGAACUGCAAAGCACAGUUCAAACAGGACUUGAAGUUUUAAGCUGAUGGCCAGAUAGCAAGAGAACUUCCACCAGUGCCUUGCCUCACCAACGCCCCCCUUCAACUCCCAAUAAGAAUGUCAAGUUAGGACAAUAGUUUGUUUAUUUGUUGAACUUACAUCCUCCAAAGAGUCCAAGCCUCUGUAAGGAGAUCUUUAAAACAACAAACAUACCUUAAACGGAGUAGGAGCCAGAUUAGAGGGGGCAGCGGGAGGGAGACGUCCAGCUCAAAGAUGGGGGAAGGCAGGAACAGACAAUGGCCAAGUCAGAAGGAUACCGAGUCUAAAAUUUAGCUCA
Molecule: long non-coding RNA, 2682 nt
Organism: Ochotona princeps (American pika)
Lineage: Eukaryota; Metazoa; Chordata; Mammalia; Lagomorpha; Ochotonidae
Exons: 5
Source: RefSeq, a predicted model, not a curated record